This 433-nucleotide ribosomal RNA is filed under the name uncultured bacterium. Its description in RNAcentral is "partial 16S ribosomal RNA". It matches the Rfam family "Bacterial small subunit ribosomal RNA", at positions 29 to 507 of the family's 1533-position model. The record is from RNAcentral.
AACGAACGCUGGCGGCAUGCCUAACACAUGCAAGUCGAACGAGACCUUCGGGUCUAGUGGCGCACGGGUGCGUAACGCGUGGGAACCUGCCCUUAGGUUCGGAAUAACUCCCCGAAAGGGGUGCUAAUACCGGAUAAUGUCUUCGGACCAAAGAUUUAUCGCCUUUGGAUGGGCCCGCGUUGGAUUAGCUAGUUGGUAGGGUAAAAGCCUACCAAGGCGACGAUCCAUAGCUGGUCUGAGAGGAUGACCAGCCACACUGGGACUGAGACACGGCCCAGACUCCUACGGGAGGCAGCAGUGGGGAAUAUUGGACAAUGGGCGAAAGCCUGAUCCAGCAAUGCCGGGUGAGUGAUGAAGGCCUUAGGGUUGUAAAGCUCUUUUACACGGGAUGAUAAUGACAGUACCGGGAGAAUAAGCUCCGGCUAACUCCGUG